CGCGUAUUUUGCCCAGGCGGAGCUCGACCGCCGCUUCAAGCCAUGAAGGCGUUUAUCGACGAGCAUGGUGAGGUUUACGGGGUCGAGCCGAUCUGCCGUGUUCUGCCGAUCGCCCCG
This is a non-coding RNA of Microvirga sp., 117 nucleotides long. NCBI's taxonomy places the organism in Bacteria, Pseudomonadati, Pseudomonadota, Alphaproteobacteria, Hyphomicrobiales, Methylobacteriaceae. The record is from Rfam.